CUCACAUUGUUUCCUAACAAAUUACAGAUAUCCUGUAAAUAAGCACACAUCACCAACUGCAGCUGGGAAUGGCGUUCAGACUGCAGGGCUGGUCUACAACUUUUCCUGGGCAGAACUGCCUGAAAUGCCUAUAAUACUGGUUCACUACAUGGACUCCCUUUUAUUUGUCCAUCAUAAUUGCUAAAAGAAAGACUUUUCUUUUUUUUUUUUUUUUUUUUUUUUUUUUUGCAAUAGAAGUACAAAUGAAGAAUCAGUUCCAGUUGCCAUCAACAUAUUUUCUCCUUUUCCCUGAUACAUCUUGGCACGUGGCCCUGGCAGCUCAUGGUUUAGACAUGUACUCUUCAUCAGGUAAAAAACUGGUUGGAUGGCUGGGCCCAAGGAGCACAGAGACAUGGCAGCAAAGCAGCACAUGGAUGUAAGGAUAUUUAUUACUGCAAACUCGACGGCUAACUCUUGUCACCAUGCUGAUUCUUGGUCUCCAUCAUAUCUUCACCACCUCCUGGGCUCUGAGGCACUAUCCACAGGAGAUGCUGCCACACUUCAAAGCAUUACAGACUGGAAGCUGCAGUUUUACAAGAUCCUAUCUACAACCAGAGAUGAAAGAUCUUGCAAGGGUACCUGGGUGUUCCUGUUGCAAAUGCUGUGCUUGGAGCUUGCAAAUAAAGGACAAGAAACAGAAAAGGUAAUGAAUGUAAUGGCCAUUUGUAAAGCAGUUAAGUCUAUUUCCUACAACCCACACAUAGAUUAUUACUAUGGUAAAGUCAUAAGUUUACAGUUUUCCAUAAUCCACUUUCAUGUAUUAC
Gallus gallus (chicken) is the source of this 803-nucleotide long non-coding RNA. Lineage: Eukaryota; Metazoa; Chordata; Aves; Galliformes; Phasianidae. The record is from Ensembl.